AAUGGAAAAGUAUGAAUGAACAUUGGAGACAAAAAAUAGAUGGGAAGUCAUGGCCUGUUUUGAGGGAGAGUCAAGGGGAGGAAACAACAGAAUGUAGGUUUUGUUUGCAAUGAUUUAGAAAUGAAAUUUUGAAUAAGUGAUAGGUGCUUGAGGGAGAGAACGGAUGGAGAGAUACGAGAAUAAAUGGAAAGGGUUACAAGGCAGAAAAAGGGAGAGGAAUUAGACGGUCUUCUAGGGGACUACGGUGUUAAACUGAAAACCUUCCUAAGGAAACAUGGGUUGUUGUUUCUAGUGUGUGGAUCAACUUUGUGUGGAUGUGUGGCCAGCUGGUGACUAAAACGUGUGUGACAAUGGUGUACCUCAUCUACUGUAUUAUUAACAAUUGUGUAUUGCAUUUGUGAGUUGUAUGUUGUGUUAAUAGUUAUGUGCGUGUGAGUGGCAAAAUAUGGGUUAGAUUUCACAUCAUUUCCUUGUCACAUUAUCUGCAUGAUUUUUUUUACUGUGUAAUGCAUUAACUUGCUAUAGGUUAUUAAAUGUGUUGUGUAAGUGGAUGGCCAACUUGUGGCUAGAAUGGGUGUGACACCGGGAUAUUAAAUAUACUAUUGUUUAUUUACUGACUUGGAUAAACUGCCCACAAAACGAAUGUUAUGAUGGGUUGUGUGAGUGGCUGGACAACGAUCGUCUAUGUAACAAAUAAAAACGACAUCGUUUUUGGAGACACCCUAAAACGGUGCCAUUUUAGGCCAAAAAAUAGAGGCGCGUUUACCUCUGGUUGGGAAAGGUGAAGAGGAGACCUGCACGCCGAGGAAGAAGGGUCAUGCAGGACUCCUUCUGCCCCUCCCUAUAAAAGGCGAAGGAAGGGAAGGAAAUUCGUGCAGGAAGAGAGAGAAAGAGAGAGAGAAAAAGAGAAAGAGAAAAAGAGAGAGAAAGAAAGAGAGAGAGAAAGAGAGAAAGAAAGAAAGAAAGAGAGAGAGAAAGAGAGAGAGAGAGGAAGAUAGAGAGAGAAAGGCUACGGUUACCAUCAAUUAGCAACCAAAAGAGGAGAGGAAAAAGAAGAAGAAGAAAAAGGAAUAGGAGAGUCUGGUGCUGCGUGCAACGGUGCGUAUGAGAAGAAGAUGAUUUAUGCGGCGGCUCAACAUUUUUUUUACUGUUCUGCGGCUCCCUUCGGUGCAAUUCCACCAAAUCUGUGUCGGAUCUAAGGGCAUGAAGUGCUCUACAGUGAAAUUUUGCCAAUCCAUAGUGGUGAUCACCGGUGAAUGGCUGCGGCGCAUGGCGAUCCGAUGGAGGUGCAUGUGGAGGCGUACGGACUUCCGGUGUUACGCACAGUGAGUCCUAGGAACCCAAUUCGAGUAGGUGGGUUCAAAAAACUAUGAUGAUUUACUAUUUUAUAUUUAGGGUUAAUUAAUCCUAUUUAAUUUUAGUGCAAUAAAUUAUUUAUCCGGUUUAGAAUUAGGGAUAAGUCUGGACAUGAAUGUUUGAAAUUAGGGGAUAACCAAUUCAUUACUAACCCGAUACGGAUAUC
This 1522-nucleotide long non-coding RNA is filed under the name Carica papaya (papaya). RNAcentral's name for it is "long non-coding RNA (CPAP_LNC003987)". The record is from RNAcentral. Lineage: Eukaryota; Viridiplantae; Streptophyta; Magnoliopsida; Brassicales; Caricaceae.